RNAcentral lists this transfer RNA (85 nucleotides) under Vibrio cholerae. RNAcentral describes it as "tRNA-Leu". It matches the Rfam family "tRNA". Rfam says of the family: Transfer RNA (tRNA) molecules are approximately 80 nucleotides in length. Their secondary structure includes four short double-helical elements and three loops (D, anti-codon, and T loops). Lineage: Bacteria; Pseudomonadati; Pseudomonadota; Gammaproteobacteria; Vibrionales; Vibrionaceae. The record is from RNAcentral.
GCGGAAGUGGCGAAAUUGGUAGACGCACCAGAUUUAGGUUCUGGUGCCGCGAGGCGUAAGAGUUCAAGUCUCUUCUUCCGCACCA